UACAGAGGGUGCAAGCGUUAAUCGGAAUUACUGGGCGUAAAGCGUGCGUAGACGGUUGCGUAAGUCAGAUGUGAAAGCCCCGGGCUCAACCUGGGAAUUGCAUUUGAGACUGCGUAGCUAGGGUGCGGAAGAGGGAAGCGGAAUUUCCGGUGUAGCGGUGAAAUGCGUAGAUAUCGGAAGGAACACCAGUGGCGAAAGCGACUUCCUGGUCCAAUACUGACGUUCAUGUGCGAAAGCGUGGGGAGCAAACAGG
This 253-nucleotide ribosomal RNA is filed under the name uncultured bacterium. Its description in RNAcentral is "partial 16S ribosomal RNA". It matches the Rfam family "Bacterial small subunit ribosomal RNA", at positions 524 to 776 of the family's 1533-position model. The record is from RNAcentral.